This 440-nucleotide ribosomal RNA is filed under the name uncultured bacterium. Its description in RNAcentral is "partial 16S ribosomal RNA". It matches the Rfam family "Bacterial small subunit ribosomal RNA", at positions 338 to 795 of the family's 1533-position model. The record is from RNAcentral.
CCUACGGGUGGCAGCAGUGGGGAAUAUUGCACAAUGGGGGGAACCCUGAUGCAGCGACGCCGCGUGGGUGAAGAAGCGCCUCGGCGCGUAAAGCCCUGUCAGCAGGGAAGAAAAUGACGGUACCUGAAGAAGAAGCCCCGGCUAACUACGUGCCAGCAGCCGCGGUAAUACGUAGGGGGCAAGCGUUAUCCGGAUUUACUGGGUGGAAAGGGGGCGCAGACGGCGAUGCAAGCCAGGAGUGAAAGCCCGGGGCCCAACCCCGGGACUGCUCUUGGAACUGCGUGGCUGGAGUGCAGGAGGGGCAGGCGGAAGUCCUGGUGUAGCGGUGAAAUGCGUAGAUAUCAGGAGGAACACCGGUGGCGAAGGCGGCCUGCUGGACUGCAACUGACGUUGAGGCCCGAAAGCGUGGGGAGCAAACAGGAUUAGAUACCCCAGUAGUC